This is a long non-coding RNA of Toxotes jaculatrix (banded archerfish), 1240 nucleotides long. RefSeq lists it as uncharacterized. The record is from RefSeq and is a predicted model, not a curated record. The transcript has 2 exons. Lineage: Eukaryota; Metazoa; Chordata; Actinopteri; Toxotidae.
GAUGUGCGGAGAAGUUGCGGGCUUAAAGAUAAAAAAAAUCUCGCUAUAGACGCUGCAAAAUGUGCUAAAAUAACAGACAUAUUCUCUGGAGGGGCCGCUGUAGCCUCCACGUCCUCUGCAGCCCAGGUUGAAGGUGAACAGGGAGAGGAGCAGCCAGAGACUGCUGACAGGGAACCCGAGGGACAGAGUGACCAGGGAAGUGUAGCACAGGCACAGCAGGUAAGCAGGUAGUAAUGUUAGGAUAAUACCGGGACUUUUAGGUGAUGGACAGGCAUGAAAAUCGCUCACCUUUCAGCGAAAUUCGCCGUUUUGAAGCCAAAACAGGUGACCUACGUGAAUCGUGUAAAAUUACAUGAGAAUGGUGGACUGCCAGCCAACGUGCUCCUGACCUUGUGUGCAAGAUGCAUUUAAAAUAAACCAUUGAAUGUGUCCUGGUCGAUGUGGAUUGGCAACGCAGUCAACGAGAGGUUCAUAGAAGCGGAAGCACGUCUGGUCAGACGUCUGGACCGGCUGACAAAAACUGGAUGCGGAAGAGUGAAAGAGCAGCACCUGUCUGCUUUAUCAGUCUCAGUGAUGGCGCCCUCGAGCAAGGCACGUCAUCCAUAAUGCAACCAAAGACUGUGGUUCAUCUAGGCAGCUCACAGGCGACACUGGCUGUGUUUACAUGCAGGAUACUGCCUUUAGUCAAACACAGUCAUGCUACAGCAAAAAAAAAAAAAAAAAGUUCUUUACCGUCAUGAUUACAUUAGUUUUUUGUGUAUUGGUGCAACAAAUCUGUCAGUCUGUGAUGAGAUUUAUAUUUUGAACAUUCCACUCCAAAUAAAACCAGCAGCUGCAACAUCAUACAGCCGUGAAAGUCCUGUUUCCCUUUCCUGAAACAGUACAUUGCAACUGUAAAUACACUGAAAAAAGCCAUCUUAGUGGUGUUUCCAUGUAACUUUAAAGGGAUGAAGCCUCCUUCAGAUCAUACGCCUCAUUGCAGGAGUUGCAAUUUAUUUCCCUGCCCACUUUCCCUCGACUUCUGCUUCAUCUGAUUCUACUGGAAUUCCAACUGGAAUAAGCACAAAAACGUUGCUGCAUGUAAAGAAAGCCAGUGUGGAUGUGACACAGAGCGUGCUCUGUCAGUUUCCCCACAUCAAGAGUAACGACAGGUAAAAGAGGUCUGUGAAAAAGAGAUGAUAAUGAGAAGGUAAUCUUUUAAGAUUGUGCUGCUCACCAUAGAACACAAGGCAUAUUUACA